Molecule: ribosomal RNA, 481 nt
Filed under: Monodontocerus leqingensis
Lineage: Eukaryota; Metazoa; Arthropoda; Collembola; Entomobryomorpha; Tomoceridae
Description: partial large subunit ribosomal RNA
Rfam family: Bacterial large subunit ribosomal RNA
Source: RNAcentral
ACAUUUCCUUUAGAUUAUCUUAAAGGUAAAGCCUGCCCACUGCGUAAGUGAAGGGCCGCGGUAUCUUGACCGUGCAAAGGUAGCAUAAUCAUUAGUCUCUUAAUUAGAGAAUGGUAUGAAUGGUUAGAUGAUUUGUUGUUAUAAUAUUAUACUAAGUUAAAAUUUGAAUUAAAAGUGAAAAUGCUUUUGUUCUUCUAAAAGACGAUAAGACCCUAUAGAACUUUAUUUAAUCUUGUUGGACAUAUAAUAUUAGGUUUAAUUGGGGCAUUUAACGAGUAAUAAUAAUUUCUUUUUAGUUUAUUUAAGGUAUCUUUAAUAAAAUAUCACACAAAAGUUACCUUAGGGAUAACAGCGUAAUAUAGAUUGAGAGAUCAUAUCGACAUUUAAUUUUGCGACCUCGAUGUUGAAUUAAAAUUUCUUGCUGGGGCAGUAUUUAGUAGGGACAGUCUGUUCGACUAAUAAAAUUUUACAUGAUUUGAGU